Molecule: long non-coding RNA, 1245 nt
Organism: Phasianus colchicus (ring-necked pheasant)
Lineage: Eukaryota; Metazoa; Chordata; Aves; Galliformes; Phasianidae
Source: Ensembl
AUGCAAGAAAGAAGGAAAUAUUUGAGGUCUGACAGAAUGGCAUGGUGGCAGUGGGAUAAGGCACAGAGCUGCAGUGGGGGGCGGGCAGAGCUUUCAUUCUCUUGUUCACAAUUUGUAUCAUUUCAGUCCUUAUGCCUCCAGCAGAGACUCAAAGCAGCCACCCCUGGGCCUGCAGUGAGCCCUGUGUUCUCUCCCUGCAGGUCCCUGGACAGAAAGUUGCAGAGGCCACUCCUGGGGAAGUCCCGGACGCUGCCCAGCAUCCCGCAGUCCCCAGUGCUGAGCAGGAUUCCCCUCCUCGACUCUGCAGCGUUCCGGGAGGCGAUGCCGGAGCAGAAGCCCUACCAGAAGCACUCAGCCCCUGAUGGCCAGAAGGGCUGCACGGUCCCAUCAGCUGGGGACGCCUGGCGGCUGGAGGACGAUGGCAUGGACCCCCCCGGCGACGCCCCGCUGCAGCCGCAGCUCCGCACGGCGGUGGAGGACGCCCCGUUCAGCCACUUUCGGAUGCGCUCCUUCUACAUGCGGAAGAGCCUCUCUGUUGACAACCACUUGGGCUCGCUGGGCUACGCCGUGCAUCCCGCUGAGACCAAGGCUGAGCGUGUCCGGACCCGGCUGCGGCGGCAGUUUGUGAGUACUUGGGGUGAUGCAACCCACUCACGUGGCUUUGCAAAACACUGGCAUGGCAGAGGGUUGGCUGUAUGCGUGUACGACAAAACAAAAGACACGUCUCUCUCCAUCCUGAUGCUGCUCAUUUUGCCCACACCUGCUAUGCUGGGCAGGUUCUGUGGCUCCCAGUCACAGCAUUGCCAUUGGGUUGGGUUGCUGCUGCUCACCAGGCAGUGCACCUCUGGUCAGAACAAAAAGGGGCUCAAGGCAAAAAGGGGUGGGCACUGCUCUGCCUCAAACACGCAGCAUUUGGGCCUUUCCAAGGGGUCAGGGCUGCAGGGUUGCAGGGAGCAGCCCCCAGCCCCUGGGGCAGCCGUCCUCCCACUGCUCUGUGGGUGCUGUGCGCUCCCCACUCAAUGUUUAAUGGGCUCUGCAUCUUCCCUUUCCCACAGACACCUGAUACAGGGCUUUGUGUGGCCUCCCUCCCACCUCGUUACUGGCUUGGGGUUGUAAUGAGGGCUUGGGUGUCCUCACACUGAAAGGCACCCGGCGUUGGUUGGAAACAGAUGAGGGCUUUGCUACAAUGGGAGCAGAGCAGGCGCUGUGCGCCCGUGUAACCUGAAGUGCUGUGCUGUCAGGCGA